Molecule: regulatory RNA element, 117 nt
Organism: Salinisphaera hydrothermalis C41B8
Lineage: Bacteria; Pseudomonadati; Pseudomonadota; Gammaproteobacteria; Salinisphaerales; Salinisphaeraceae
Rfam family: ALIL pseudoknot
Source: Rfam
CGCGUAUUUUGCCUAGACGGAGUUCGACCGCCGCGGCAAGUGAUGAUCGAUUUCAUCGAUCAUCAUCGCGACGUCUGCGGUGUCGAGCCGAUCUGCACGACAACAGCGCGAUGCCCG